GCCUUCUGUUGCCAUUGCUCGAUGAUCCUCAUAGAAAGAUCUGCACAGCCAUUGGUAUGGCUGUGGCAUCUAUUGCCCAUUACGAUUGGCCAGAAGACUGGCCUGAUCUCUUACCAUCACUAAUGAAGUGUAUUACUGACCAAACAAACAUGAAUGCUGUUCAUGGAGCUUUGAGGUGCUUUGCUCUUGUGUCAGCGGAUUUGGACGAUAAUAUAGUUCCGAAACUUGUUCCUGUUUUAUUCCCUUGCUUGCACUCAAUUGUUUCAUCACCUCAGAUUUAUGAGAAAUCUUUGCGCAUGAAGGCUCUUUCAAUAGUUUAUGCUUGCACCUCAAUGCUAGGGGCUAUGAGCGGUGUAUAUAAGACGGAGACCAGUGCAAUGAUGUCACCUAUGAUUCAAUCUUGGAUCAACCAAUUCUCUUCGAUUCUAGAGCAUCCAGUGCCAUCGGAAGACCCUGAUGAUUGGAGCAUCCGGAUGGAGGUUAUAAAGUGCUUGAAUCAGUUCCUCCAGAACUUCCCGAGCCUUAUGGAAAGUCAAUUUGGGGUUUUUAUGGGACCAUUAUGGCAGACAUUUGUAUCAUCGCUAGCAGUAUAUACACGAUCAUCAAUUGAAGGAAUUGAAGAUCCUUAUGAUGGGAGAUAUGAUUCUGAUGGUGCAGAGCAAAGUCUUGAAUCAUUCAUCAUCCAGUUGUUUGAGUUUCUAUUGACUAUUUUGGGCAGCCCCAAAUUUGUAAAGGUAGUUGGGAACAAUGUAAAGGAGUUGGUUUACUACACUAUUGCCUUUAUGCAGACAACAGAACAGCAGGUUAACACUUGGUCUGUUGAUGCCAAUCAAUAUGUAGCUGAUGAGGAUGAUAAUACUUACAGUUGUCGUGCUUCUGGUGCUCUUUUGUUGGAAGAAGUCAUUAGUUCUUGUGGUACACAGGGAAUUCAUGCUAUCAUUGACUCUGCAAAGACGCGAUUUAGGGAGUCUCAGCAAGAAAAAGCAUCUGGUGCUUCAGGCUGGUGGAGAAUGAAGGAGGCUGCACUUUUUGCUUUGGCUUCAGUGUCUGAAGAGCUACUUGAAGCUGAGGCCCCUGAAAUCACUAAAGUCGGUUUAGGAGAUACCUUGGAACAAAUUCUUUCGGAAGAUAUGUCAACAGGGGUGAAUGAAUAUCCCUUCUUAUAUGCCCGUAUAUUUUCUUCCAUUGCUAAGUUUUCCUCCAUGGUCAGCGAGGGUCUAAUUGAGCACUUCCUCUAUGCAGCCAUCAAAGCACUUGGCAUGGAUAUGCCUCCACCUGUUAAAGUAGGGGCAUGUAGAGCACUUUCUCAACUUUUACCUGAUACAAAUAAAGAGAUUCUCCGUCCUCAUUUCUUGGAUAUAUUUUCAUCACUCACAGAUCUUCUAAAGCAUGCUUCUGACGAGACCAUGCAUCUAGUGCUUGAAACACUACAGGAAGCAGUAAAAGCAGGCCCUGAUUUGGUGGUAUCUAUUGAGCCAGUUCUCUCUCCGAUUAUACUCAAUAUGUGGGCUUCAAAUGUUGCUGAUCCUUUUGUCAGCAUUGAUGCUCUUGAGGUUCUGGAGGCAAUAAAAA
This 1572-nucleotide unclassified non-coding RNA is filed under the name Hevea brasiliensis (rubber tree). Lineage: Eukaryota; Viridiplantae; Streptophyta; Magnoliopsida; Malpighiales; Euphorbiaceae. The record is from RNAcentral.